AUUUCAGCAGCCAGCACGUCAUGAGGUGAGUUAUUCCACUGUUGCUUGAAUCUUUCAUCGUUCUUAAAACUUGGGAAAUUGCUCUAAAACAGGUGGCGAUCCAGGAAGGUGUGAUUUCUCGUAUGAGAAACAACACCGCGGGCUUCGUGAAGAUCAUUAUUUGGGUGUUACUGUUUCGCAGCCUCGAAAACUCUCGAAUUUUGCUUUCAUUCUUCGCAACUGUCCGAUUGUUAUAAAUUACAGGAAGUAGUGGUAAGUCCUGUCGGAAAAUUAGUAUUGUUAAAAAACAGAGUACGUGUAUAUUUGAAUACCACACGUGGUAAGUGGGACGAAGAGAUAAAUGAAUUUCAAUUUAUGCGAUUUGCGAUUGGAAAUCUUUCAGCCCGAACUGCCUUUGUUAGAAAGCAAAGAUGAAAGAUUUUAGAGCUCGAUCACCUUUAUGACUUAAUGUUUGACCAUUAGACGCAAUUGCAAGGCUCUCAGGAUAUCGAUUCCUGAACAGGAACGACAAGAAAUGUAAUGCAAUAUUGGAUGCUGUUUUGAAAUGCAGGACCUCAAUUAGUGUCACACGUUGUGCGUAUAAUAUAACUGUAAACAUUAUGCACAAAUUCCACUUCCAUGAAUCGACUAUGAAAAAAAAUUGUUUGAUUUUUCGAGAUAAACUGAGGGCGGUCAUUCGAGCUUUAAAUUUUCUCCGCACUAUUGUCGCUGCCUGCUAUUGACUGAGUAACGAGCUUUUCAGCGGACCAUAGUCGGCGAUCGACUGCCAAAUGCGUCGCUAUCCACUGAAAUGUUCGCAGAUAAAGUUUAUGUCUUCAAACGCAUUUUGGCGAGGGUUCAACUGUAAAUUUCCUUUACCUGUGAGACCUAUAAACAAAGAGAUGAGACACAUUCGCUACCAAUCGAAGUAUUGAAGACAAUUUACAGAUGGAUUUGUGCAGCCGUCAGAACUGUACUAGCAUUUGGAGGUGAAGAAGUUGCCAAGUAGGGAUAUACCAGGAGAAACACGUCGAUCGUGCUUGCCGAGGAGAAUUCCUUACAUUCGAAGACUGUCGACUCGAGGAAGUUUAGAAAACUAGCGAGGAAUCACUACCAAGAGCGCAAAAAUGAGUAAGUAACUUAAUUUUAGACGUAAAGUGUCCCGUCAACUGUUUCACACAUCUUAGAAAAAAUCAGAUCCAGUCAAAUUAUUUUCGAAGUAGUCCAUGAGAAUCCGCAUUAGUCGCCUUUCUUUCUUAUUUAACCGUUGUCAUUAAUUACUUUACACUGAGCGAUAUUUUGACAGGGGACUCAAGAUUGAGCGCCUAAC
This is a long non-coding RNA of Stylophora pistillata, 1309 nucleotides long. NCBI's taxonomy places the organism in Eukaryota, Metazoa, Cnidaria, Anthozoa, Scleractinia, Pocilloporidae. The record is from RefSeq and is a predicted model, not a curated record.